AGAGUUUGAUCCUGGCUCAGAUUGAACGCUGGCGGCAGGCCUAACACAUGCAAGUCGAACGGUAACAGGAAGAAGCUUGCUUCUUUGCUGACGAGUGGCGGACGGGUGAGUAAUGUCUGGGAAACUGCCUGAUGGAGGGGGAUAACUACUGGAAACGGUAGCUAAUACCGCAUAACGUCGCAAGACCAAAGAGGGGGACCUUCGGGCCUCUUGCCAUCGGAUGUGCCCAGAUGGGAUUAGCUAGUAGGUGGGGUAACGGCUCACCUAGGCGACGAUCCCUAGCUGGUCUGAGAGGAUGACCAGCCACACUGGAACUGAGACACGGUCCAGACUCCUACGGGAGGCAGCAGUGGGGAAUAUUGCACAAUGGGCGCAAGCCUGAUGCAGCCAUGCCGCGUGUAUGAAGAAGGCCUUCGGGUUGUAAAGUACUUUCAGCGGGGAGGAAGGGAGUAAAGUUAAUACCUUUGCUCAUUGACGUUACCCGCAGAAGAAGCACCGGCUAACUCCGUGCCAGCAGCCGCGGUAAUACGGAGGGUGCAAGCGUUAAUCGGAAUUACUGGGCGUAAAGCGCACGCAGGCAGCGUCUGUUAAGUCAGAUGUGAAAUCCCCGGACUCAACCUGGGAACUGCAUCUGGAAUACCUGGCAAGCUUGAGUUCUUCCGUAGAAGGGGGUAGAAUUCCAGGUGUAGCGGUGAAAUGCGUAGAGAUCUGGAGGAAAUACCGGUGGCGAAAGCCGCCCCCUGGACGAAGACUGACGCUCAGGUGCGAAAGCGUGGGGAGCAAGCAGGAUUAGAUACCCUGGUAGUCCACCGCCGUAAAACGAUGUCGACUUGGAGGUUUGUGCCCUUUGAGGGCGUGGCUUCCCGGAGCUAACGCGUUAAGUCGACCGCCUGGGGGGAGUACGGCCCGCAAGGUUAAAAACUCAAAUGAAUUUGACGGGGGGCCCGCACAAGCGGUGGAGCAUGUGGUUUAAUUUCGAUGCAACGGCGAAGAACCCUUACCCUGAUUCUUGACAUUCCACGGAAGUUUUCAGAAGAAUGAGAAUGUGCCUUCCGGGAACCGGUGAGAACCAGGUGCCUGCAUGGCUGUCGUCAGCUCGUGAUUGUGAAAUGUUGGGUUAAGUCCCGCAACGAGCGCAACCCUUAUCCUUUGUUGCCAGCGGUCCGGCCGGGAACUCAAAGGAGACUGCCAGUGAUAAACUGGAGGAAGGUGGGGAUGACGUCAAGUCAUCAUGGCCCUUACGACCAGGGCUACACACGUGCUACAAUGGCGCAUACAAAGAGAAGCGACCUCGCGAGAGCAAGCGGACCUCAUAAAGUGCGUCGUAGUCCGGAUUGGAGUCUGCAACUCGACUCCAUGAAGUCGGAAUCGCUAGUAAUCGUGGAUCAGAAUGCCACGGUGAAUACGUUCCCGGGCCUUGUACACACCGCCCGUCACACCAUGGGAGUGGGUUGCAAAAGAAGUAGGUAGCUUAACCUUCGGGAGGGCGCUUACCACUUUGUGAUUCAUUGACUGGGAAAAAAAGUCGUAACAAGGUAGCCGU
Molecule: ribosomal RNA, 1543 nt
Filed under: uncultured bacterium
Lineage: Bacteria
Description: bacterial SSU rRNA
Rfam family: Bacterial small subunit ribosomal RNA
Source: RNAcentral